Populus trichocarpa (black cottonwood) is the source of this 2028-nucleotide long non-coding RNA. RefSeq lists it as uncharacterized. The transcript is spliced from 3 exons. NCBI's taxonomy places the organism in Eukaryota, Viridiplantae, Streptophyta, Magnoliopsida, Malpighiales, Salicaceae. The record is from RefSeq and is a predicted model, not a curated record.
GUUUGAAGAUAAUGAUUUAUUUCUGUAUCAUUACUUGGUAAUUGUAUGGUUGAAGACAGGCAAUUCCUUUUAUAAGAAGUUGCAGUUUACUUUAGAUUGGCUAGGAAAUUGCUUUGAAAUUGUCUCUUUGUAAAUAACUAAUAUUACUCGGAGCUGCCCUGACUUGAAUAUCAGCUAGAAUAACUCUGUUCCUGCAAUUUCAGACUAUAGUGAUUAUUUGGGUGAGAGUUUAAUGACAACAAGCGAUGCUGAGACUACAGAGGAAUCAAUAUCACUCGUGAUUGAUGAUACAGUUCAUGUUGCGGUUGGAAAGGAUGUUGGAGAAAGCAGGUUGGCUUUGAAAUGGGCAGGGCAUCACAGAAUUUUUCUAGCAAGAGAAUUUGCCUUCUUCGUGUUCACCAGCCUGCUGAAGUGAUACCCUUGAACUUGGAUAAAAUCAACCCCUUUGCCACUUGUUUAUUUAUUAUGUGUCUGGGAUGCAUUUGGUGGGAAUUUUCCAGCUAACAGACUUGAACAGCAUGAACUGAGGGAGUUCCAAGAACUUGAAAGGAAGAUUAUGCACAGGAUCCUGGACGAUUACCUUCUCAUUUGUCACCAUGCAGCGGUUCAUGCAGAAAAGCUAUACAUUGAGGAGGAGGAUAUUGGAAAGGGGAUCGUGGAACUCUUGUCCCAGCACGCUAUCAAGAAGCUUGUUAUGGGUGCAGAUGCUGACAGAUAUUAUUCAGAGUACAAUCCAUAACUACACUAUCGUACUUCAUCAAACUCAGAUGUCAAUGGAUAAAAUUUUGUGAUAUCCGAAUGACUAUGGAUUUUGGCUGCUGCUCUUUGUAGAGCUAAGUUUUUAUUUUCAGGCAUGCUGCCUCAAUGGGUUCCGUCAUAUGAACUAUGCCAUGUAUUUUUAAGCUGAGUAGACCAUUGAUGAAACCAUUGGGAGACUACGCAGAGAAUCAGAAUGGUCACACUAUUAGAGAUAAGAAGUUCACAGAAGAAUUGGUUUAGAGGCUGAAAAGGGGCCAUAAUUCACAUUUGGUCUGGGCUUGUUAGGUCUUUCACCAGAGAUUCCAGUUCUUGUUUUUUCCAAAUUCUAUUAUGCAGUGAUCUGAAAUCGCUCACAAAGCUACCUCAAAAUUGCAGGGGAAUGAUGAAUCUCUAGUUCAGAAAGGACAAAUAUGCCAACAGUGUGCACCUCUUUCCUGUCAAAUUUUUGCUUGUCUGCAAGGGGCACCUCGUAAACACAGGGUAUGUUUUACAAGUAUCAUGUUAACCUGUUCUAAUAGCACCGGGAGUGCAUGGAUGUAAUGCAGUCCUGGGUGCUAAUUUAUCAGAGUGAAUGUACUUCCAAGUUACUGACACCCAAACAACUUAACUGUCUUUUCAAGUGUCGAAAUGCUGACUGUCAAUCUCCCAGCAUUCACAACAAGAAACUGUAGUUUAUUGCAUAAAAAUUGAAAGCAAUUAAAAGAAAUAUCCAAAAGAAAUGUAAAGAUUUGAUUCCUGAGAACCCCAACAGCCUCCGCUGCAUUUCAAUUGUCCCAUUUGCAGGUAAUUCCAUUGCUUUCUUAAAUUGAAUGCUAUUCUCAUCUCUUUUCAAUUGUCAACAGUUGUUUUUUUCUGAAGUGUAUUUUGUUCUCAUAUACUAUGUUGUUCUCCUGAUUAAAUCCCACAAUGUUUGCAGUAACAAUUUUAUCUGCUAGUGUUUGCAGGAAGUCAUGCAAGAUACUCAGGUUGCAGCAGAUGGAUUUACCUAUGAAGCAGAGACUUCGAUAGGAUGGCUAGAGAUAGAGCUUGAAAAUCUUGAUCUCAUCCCUAAUCGUUCUCUUCGUUCUGCAAUUCAAGAGUGGCUGCAGCAGCGUUUUUCAUUAUUUUAUUCAGCUAAGACCAUAGCGGCAUUGAAUAUAGUUUCAUCUCUUGAGAGAGUCUUUUCCAUGCUAGACUGUCAAUUCUUAGUUGCAAGGGACUAGCAUGUAAUUUUUAGUGUCUAUUUAAAAUUAAAUCACAUAUUAAAUUAAAUUCAAUUAAUAUUAUCAA